GAGUUUGAUCAUGGCUCAGGAUGAACGCUAGCGGGAGGCUUAACACAUGCAAGUCGAGGGGCAUCACGAGGUAGCAAUACUUUGGUGGCGACCGGCGCACGGGUGAGUAACGCGUAUGUAACCUACCCUGUACAGGGGGAUAGCCCGGAGAAAUUCGGAUUAAUACCCCAUAAUGAUAUUGAGAGGCAUCUUUUAAUAUUUAAAGUUUCAACGGUACGGGAUGGGCAUGCGUGACAUUAGCUAGUUGGUAGGGUAACGGCUCACCAAGGCUACGAUGGUUAGGGGGUCUGAGAGGAUGAUCCCCCACACUGGUACUGAGACACGGACCAGACUCCUACGGGAGGCAGCAGUGAGGAAUAUUGGGCAAUGGGCGCAAGCCUGACCCAGCCAUGCCGCGUGCAGGAUGACGGCGCUAUGCGUUGUAAACUGCUUUUGUUUAGGAAGAAACCCAUCUACGUGUAGGUGGUUGACGGUACUGAAUGAAUAAGCAUCGGCUAACUCCGUGCCUGCAGCCGCGGUAAUACGGAGGAUGCAAGCGUUAUCCGGAUUCAUUGGGUUUAAAGGGUGCGUAGGCGGAGUACUAAGUCAGCGAUGAAAUCCUGCAGCUUAACUGUAGAACUGUCAUUGAUACUGGUAUUCUUGAAUGCAGUUGAGGUAGGCGGAAUGUGUA
This 670-nucleotide ribosomal RNA is filed under the name uncultured bacterium. Its description in RNAcentral is "bacterial SSU rRNA". It matches the Rfam family "Bacterial small subunit ribosomal RNA", at positions 9 to 672 of the family's 1533-position model. The record is from RNAcentral.